UACGAAGGGGGCUAGCGUUGCUCGGAAUCACUGGGCGUAAAGCGCACGUAGGCGGCUUUUUAAGUCAGGGGUGAAAUCCUGGAGCUCAACUCCAGAACUGCCUUUGAUACUGAGAAGCUCGAGUCCGGGAGAGGUGAGUGGAACUGCGAGUGUAGAGGUGAAAUUCGUAGAUAUUCGCAGGAACACCAGUGGCGAAGGCGGCUCACUGGCCCGAUACUGACGCUGAGGUGCGAAAGCGUGGGGAGCAAACAGG
RNAcentral lists this ribosomal RNA (253 nucleotides) under uncultured bacterium. Its description in RNAcentral is "partial 16S ribosomal RNA". It matches the Rfam family "Bacterial small subunit ribosomal RNA", at positions 524 to 776 of the family's 1533-position model. The record is from RNAcentral.